UUGCUCCCUGAUGUUAGCGGCGGACGGGUGAGUAACACGUGGGUAACCUGCCUGUAAGACUGGGAUAACUCCGGGAAACCGGGGCUAAUACCGGAUGGUUGUUUGAACCGCAUGGUUCAGACAUAAAAGGUGGCUUCGGCUACCACUUACAGAUGGACCCGCGGCGCAUUAGCUAGUUGGUGAGGUAACGGCUCACCAAGGCGACGAUGCGUAGCCGACCUGAGAGGGUGAUCGGCCACACUGGGACUGAGACACGGCCCAGACUCCUACGGGAGGAAGCAGUAGGGAAUCUUCCGCAAUGGACGAAAGUCUGACGGAGCAACGCCGCGUGAGUGAUGAAGGUUUUCGGAUCGUAAAGCUCUGUUGUUAGGGAAGAACAAGUGCCGUUCAAAUAGGGCGGCACCUUGACGGUACCUAACCAGAAAGCCACGGCUAACUACGUGCCAGCAGCCGCGGUAAUACGUAGGUGGCAAGCGUUGUCCGGAAUUAUUCGGCGUAAAGGGCUCGCAGGCGGUUUCUUAAGUCUGAUGUGAAAGCCCCCGGCUCAACCGGGGAGGGUCAUUGGAAACUGGGGAACUUGAGUGCAGAAGAGGAGGGUGGAAUUCCACGUGUAGCGGUGAAAUGCGUAGAGAUGUGGAGGAACACCAGUGGCGAAGGCGACUCUCUGGUCUGUAACUGACGCUGAGGAGCGAAAGCGUGGGGAGCGAACAGGAUUAGAUACCCUGGUAGUCCACGCCGUAAACGAUGAGUGCUAAGUGUUAGGGGGUUUCCGCCCGUUAGUGCUGCAGCUAACGCAUUAAGCACUCCGCCUGGGGAGUACGGUCGCAAGACUGAAACUCAAAGGAAUUGACGGGGGCCCGCACAAGCGGUGGAGCAUGUGGUUUAAUUCGAAGCAACGCGAAGAACCCUUACCAGGUCUUGACAUCCUCUGACAAUCCUAGAGAUAGGACGUCCCCUUUCGGGGGCAGAGUGACAGUGAUGCAUGGUUGUCGUCAGCUCGUGUCGUGAGAUGUUGGGUUAAGUCCCGCAACGAGCGCAACCCUUGAUCUAGUGCAG
This 1056-nucleotide ribosomal RNA is filed under the name Bacillus sp. (in: firmicutes). RNAcentral's name for it is "bacterial SSU rRNA". It matches the Rfam family "Bacterial small subunit ribosomal RNA", at positions 79 to 1118 of the family's 1533-position model. The record is from RNAcentral. Lineage: Bacteria; Bacillati; Bacillota; Bacilli; Caryophanales; Bacillaceae.